GAAGGUGUAUUUGAUUGAUUAUAGUAGUUUUGUCUAUGGUCUUGAAAACCGGCGACCCGAAAGGGUUCCAGAGUUCGAAUCUCUGCGCUUCCGCCA
RNAcentral lists this transfer RNA (96 nucleotides) under Klebsiella pneumoniae. RNAcentral describes it as "tRNA-OTHER". The record is from RNAcentral. Lineage: Bacteria; Pseudomonadati; Pseudomonadota; Gammaproteobacteria; Enterobacterales; Enterobacteriaceae.